GGAGAAAAAACUGAUUAUUUAUAACUUCUUUCUUUUCAUUUUCUAUAUCUAACAUUUUUUUCUCUCUAAUAAAAAAUAAAAUAAUCGCCUCUCUCAGAUUGAGAUUUUUCUCUCACUUUUCUUUUUUAAUGGAACAACAGAAAAUAUAAAUGAGGUUUUUGGUGUUUUCUUGUGGAAUUACCAGUCCCUUCCUCUCCUCAGGUACGUAUUUCAUACCCACGUGCAGAAAUUUGGUAUCAAGACUACUAGAAAAGACAAGCUGACACAAAAAAAAACGUGGUAUAAAUCAUAAAUAUAUAAAUUUUAAUUUGGCCUUAGAUAUCGUUUAAUUUUAAAUGUGCACAAAUACAUAUCUAAAUUAUCAUAAUUUUAAAUAAAAAGACAUACAUAGAAGAAAUCACGUGAUAUUAAUUCAAAUUUUAGAGUAAAAUAGUUUGGGAUGUGCUCCAAACAUAUCAAUACGUACAAAGCAUUAAUUUGUCAACAUUCGAAAGGUUGAGCAUAAGCCUAAUCAAUUGACAACCAGUAAAAUGACAUAAGCCUAAUUAGUUUGAUAGAAAUUUAAAAAGCAUUUUUCCAUUGCAUUCUCACUCCAUGAUACGAGUGCUAAAAAUUUUCUAUACAUCCCAAACUAUUUUUGACCUCAGUUUUCAUUCACGUGAUUCAAACAACCAUUCAUAUAUAUAUUUAGUAUUUUAAAUUUAAAUCAUACUACAAUGGUAAGGAAAGAAAAUGAACUUAAGUUACUCCCUUCGUCCUCUUUUUAAUUAUCGCUUUAUAUAGUUAAAAAUAAUUAUUACUUUAGAAAUUCAAGAAUUGAAAAUUAAUAAUUAUUUUUAACUAUAUCACCGACAUAAAAAAAAGUGUUUCCCAUAUCAUAUGUUAACUAUUGCUAUAGCUCAAAAAAAUUAUAUCAAAUUAAAAUAAUUAUCACCUUAACGAUACAAAUUGUUUUUAGCUAUUUUCUUAAUAUAAAAGAAAUAGAUUUUUUUAAUAUAGAAAUGUUCAAUUCAAAAACAUUUAAUAAAUAAGAAUAGCUUAGUGAAUUAUACCUUAUAUUCAUUUCUUUUUUUUACUGGACAUAAAAAGAAUCUAAAGUGAUCGUAAAAUUGUAUAGAGGGAAUAGUUUAAUCACCAACUUAAGAUGAAUUUUAUUUUCUAAGGACACCAGUAUACCACAUAUAAUCCAUCAGAGUCGAGGAAAAACUCAUGGUGAUUAAAAUAAACUAAAGUUUAAGACAUCAUAUAGAUAAGCAUUUUGCAGAGUACAAUAUUGUUAGAAAAUGCCUCGCCGUCCAUCAGAGGGAUUAAUUAAAAAAAGAAACAAAAACGUUAACAGUCAUAUCAUAUAAUAUUAUUAUUAAAAUAUAAUUUCAAACUUAAUAUUAUAAAGGUAUAAUGAGUUUAAUUAAUGCUAAUAUCUUUACAAAUUUACUUCGAAUUACUUAGUUGAAAAGGAGGAAGAGGGAGUCGGUGAUAUGCGUUUGCCUAACUAAAUAUUCUGUGUACUUGAUUAGUUAACUAAGAUCUUUUAAACAAAGACAUAACUCUAUAUAAAUUAAGGAAAACAAAAAUGUCGAUUGCUCAAUAGUCUACGUACCGACAAGAGGAGGAUAAGAGAUGUAAUAAGGUGAUGAAAUGUUAGCCAUAUAAAUAAAGAUGAUUGAAGUGGUUUAACAACCACUUUUUAAUUAUUUGAAAGUGAAAUACUAUCUACAAAAUAAAUUAAAUCCCCCCAUGUUUGAUCGUCAAAUCCUCAAACAUUUCCCAAAUGUCCUCUAGGCAUCCAACACGCUAAAGAAUACAUAUAUAUUUUAAUAGGGCUCUCGUAAGAUCGAAUAUCCUACUAAAAAAAAAAGUCAAUAUCAGAUUAAAUUAAAAAUCUUUGCAAUGUGUUAACUAUUAACUAUGUUUAAAAAACUUGAAACUAAAUGUGAACUUUUUUUUACAUAAUAUUUUAAAUUACAUUGCCAGGAUUAGAGAAGAUUUUUGUUGCUAUAAAUUAAAUUUAUCAGUCACUAAUUCUGAUAUUUUUAAAAGCAGUGGACAAGUAAAUGCCUGAAGUGUCAAUCGAUAUCUGUCCCAAUCCUACUGGCUGAUCAAAGUUGAG
Molecule: long non-coding RNA, 2110 nt
Filed under: Solanum tuberosum (potato)
Lineage: Eukaryota; Viridiplantae; Streptophyta; Magnoliopsida; Solanales; Solanaceae
Description: long non-coding RNA (STUB_LNC003133)
Source: RNAcentral